AUCGAACGCUGGCGGCAGGCCUAACACAUGCAAGUCGAGCGGAUGAAGGGAGCUUGCUCCUGGAUUCAGCGGCGGACGGGUGAGUAAUGCCUAGGAAUCUGCCUGGUAGUGGGGGAUAACGUCCGAAAACGGGCGCUAAUACCGCAUACGUCCUGAGGGAGAAAGUGGGGGAUCUUCGGACCUCACGCUAUCAGAUGAGCCUAGGUCGGAUUAGCUAGUUGGUGGGGUAAAGGCCUACCAAGGCGACGAUCCGUAACUGGUCUGAGAGGAUGAUCAGUCACACUGGAACUGGGAACCGGUCCAGCCUCCUACGGGGGGCAGCAGGGGGGAAUUUUGGAAAAUGGGCGAAAGCCUGCUCCAGCCAUGCCGCGGGUGUGAAGAAGGUCUUCGGAUUGUAAAGCACUUUAAGUUGGGAGGAAGGGCAGUAAGUUAAUACCUUGCUGUUUUGACUUUACCAACAGAAUAAGCACCGGCUAACUUCGU
This 483-nucleotide ribosomal RNA is filed under the name uncultured bacterium. Its description in RNAcentral is "partial 16S ribosomal RNA". It matches the Rfam family "Bacterial small subunit ribosomal RNA", at positions 30 to 506 of the family's 1533-position model. The record is from RNAcentral.